GGGAUGACGGUACCCAAAGAAUAAGCACCGGCUAACUUCGUGCCAGCAGCCGCGGUAAUACGAAGGGUGCAAGCGUUACUCGGAAUUACUGGGCGUAAAGCGUGCGUAGGUGGUCGUUUAAGUCCGUUGUGAAAGCCCUGGGCUCAACCUGGGAACUGCAGUGGAUACUGGGCGACUAGAGUGUGGUAGAGGGUAGCGGAAUUCCCUGGUGUAGCAGUGAAAUGCGUAGAGAUCAGGAGGAACAUCCAUGGCGAAGGCAGCUACCUGGACCAACACUGACACUGAGGCACGAAAGCGUGGGGAGCAAACA
Molecule: ribosomal RNA, 310 nt
Filed under: gamma proteobacterium AC4
Lineage: Bacteria; Pseudomonadati; Pseudomonadota; Gammaproteobacteria
Description: bacterial SSU rRNA
Rfam family: Bacterial small subunit ribosomal RNA
Source: RNAcentral